CCCAAAAAUACCCCCUUUAUUUGAGUUUGAUGUAAUGCCCUAAAAUAAUUCCUCUUUCAUACGCCCACAAAAUCACAAUCUUUGCUCAAAUAUUUUUUCUGCCCUUUUGCCCCUGCAAAUUUAUCUCUUCCCUUCCUCUACCCUUCUACUAGUAUAAGGUGUUUUCUGAGGUGGGUUUUGUAAAGUUCGAAUUUUUAUUGGAUUACAAUCAAAACCCAGAUUAAGAAUUGAGGAAUUUUGCAAUUUCUGUCUCUGGAAAUCUGGAAUUCACAUUUUUCAGAUUUUGAAGUUCAUUUUCAGGAAGUCACAAAGCAUGCUUGGUAUGGGGGAAGCAGAAUUUUAUCCAGAAGGCAUGUGAGUUGAAUAUUGGCAGAAAUCGCAGCAAUAUGUUCUAUCAAUCUUAGUAAGGCAAUCUGGUGUAUGAUCUCGCUUGCGCUACAAUUCACCUGCAGGUAUGGGCUUCAAAGUUCAUGUAUAAGUAUCAAACUCAUGGUUUUUAAAGCAUAUGGCUUUGCACAAUGAUGAAUGACACUUAAUACAAUUACCAUCUGGGAACUAGUAUCAAGUAACAAGAAAACUUUGUGUCACUACUAAAGAAAGGAUUAGAAUGAUGGACAUGGACUACAUAGCUUUUAUACACUUGGUUUAAUUACAACUUUUGUAUGUUAUAAUAUGAACUGAAUCUAACUAUCUUUGCUCCAUCUGUUCUUGGAUAGGAAGCACGUAUGAACUUGGAAUUCCGAAUAGUAGGACAUUUUUUUUUUAAUAUGCUAUAGUCUUGUUGCUAUUUACAUUUGUCAUUUAUGUAUUUAAACUACCCUCAAUUUUCAUCCCUCUCCUCUAGAAAAACUUUAUAAUCCUUAGGAACUGUUCUCCCUAGUUUAUUUUCAGUUCAGUUGCAAUCAGUUCAAUUCAGUUUGGUUCAGCUCCAACUAUCAUCUAUUAGUUAUAAUUUAAUUCAAUUCAGUUCAGUUCAGUUGCAAUCAGUUUAGUUUAGUUCACUUCAGUUCAGUUGCAAUCAGUUUAGUUUAGUUCACUUUCAGUUCAGUUGUUUUAUGUCGAAAAGAACAGACCUUAGACUAUAUAGUCGAUGUUGUUGCUUUUGAUUGCCAAAGGCCCAAAAGGAUGGAUGAGAAGCACAAAAGAAUCUCAUAAUAGUACCAAUAAUAUAAAAUCUUAGACCAAAACACAUGUAUAUCUAUUCACAUUUAGUUAUAACUUAUAAAUAACAUAGAAGUAUAUAAAUUCUAAAAGAAUAUUUACUAAAAUAAUAAUAAAGAAAAAACAUAAAGAAAAGAGCUAUAUAUUAUCCACUGUAUUUACUUCUUUUUUCCCCCUUUUGUUUAGACUUUUAUACUCUUGGUCUACCUCCAAAAAGGCUUUUAAAGUGUUGAGCUUGGGACUCAAGCUUGGCAUCGACUUAUAUGCUCACCUGUUUAUGAAGGCUCAUCAUCUCCACCUCUUUAUUCUAGUGGGAAGUAAAAGAUAUACUAUGCUUUUAUUAUUGAAUUACAAAUAAAAUAUUCUCCGUUUUUUUUUUACUUGCAACGUUUUCACUUUACCAAUAUUUAUGUACUUACUUUGAUCAGAAAUAUGUAAAUAAUAUACAAUACAAAUUUUAGCACGUAAGGUAUUUGUUGUAUAUAUAUAUACACACAAGAUUUCAACUAACGUAUUAAAAUUUGCACAAAUAUAUAAUUAGAUAUAUUAAUGGACAAAGUUGUAUAUCGACAAAUAUGAAAAUCAAAAUGUUGUCAGCUAAAAAAGGAACAAUUAUAUAUUUUAUCCGUUUUAAAUUGAUAAUAAUGUUCAUUUGGUUUAGACACAGAUGAGCUAGAGAAGAGAGUUUCUUUAUAAAAAAAAAAACUUUGAGAGAGAAGGUAGAUAGAAGUAGAGAAACCUAUGUGCUAAAGAGAGUUAAUUUUUACUCGAUAACUAAAAUUUAGUAAGACCUUUUAAUUUGAAAAAGAUGGGAACAUAAUGUGACAAUUAUUCAUUAAAGUAAGAAUUUAAGAUUAGGAUUAAAUGAGACUAUAUUAUAUAGCCUACAAUUAUAUCAAGGAUGUUUUGGCCUAGUAAUUAAGAUUGAGGUGUUAUGAACUCAUAAGUUCGAAUUCCUUCUCCUUCUUUAUAUUUUGUACUGCCUUCAUGGCUAAUAUGAAAAAAAAAAGGAACUAUGGAAGAGGCACACCUUUGACUGUGGUGUAAAACGUACAAGAUUUGGUCACCUAGCAAAAGGUUUGUAAAUCCUACCUAAUACAUAUUAUAUCUACAUUGUUCUAAGCAAUGUCCCUUUGACCUUUGUAAACAAACAAAAAAAUCAUAUUAUUAUGUACGUACUUAAAAGCUUGUCAUUCUAAAAAAUAUAUAGUAAUGUUUAUUAAAAAUUAUUCAUAUUGAAUAGUGAAAAAUACCUAAUGACAAUAAUGAUUUUAAUACUUGAUUAUAAUUCAUACUCCCUCCGUCCCAUAAUAUAGUGCUUGUUUCUUUUUUACACGGUCUCCAACCCGUAACUUUGACUUUUAAUAUUUUCAAUUCCGUAUUAAUAAAAAAAUAUAAAAAUUUGAUAUUAUGAAACUACACAUUGAGACGAAUCUAACAAGAUCCCACAUGAAUAUGUUUUUUUAUACAUACAAAUGAGAAUAUUCGGUCAAAGAUUUUAAAGUUUGACCCACCAAAAAUGAAAUAGUCACUAUAUUAUAAGACGGAGGGAGUAUAUUUUUGAAAGGUAAUAACAAUAAAGGUUAUGUAAAUAUAACAAUAGAAUUUUGACCUUAAUAACUAACUCCAUGUCAACAGGUCAAAAUAAAUUUCUCAUGCAGAUUUUUCCAACUUAUUUUACUAUAAAGUAUUUUAAAAGACCUAAAUAACUUACUUUUACAUGUGAAAACUUGAAAAGGGCAUUAUAUGAGGUGUUGUAAAAAGUAGACUUUGUAUUUCUUUUCAUGUGUUCCAAAAUAUAUAAGAAAAAUUAUUCUUACCUACAAGUGUAUAUAAGGGUAUGAUAUCCUUUACAACUUGAACUUGAUUAUAAUGCAUGGAAAGAUCACCCCACAAAAGAACCUUAUUCUCUCAUUCUCAUUUCAUCUUUCUCAAAAUACUUGCACAAACAUUGUCCUCUCUUCCUUACAAUGAAUCAUGGUUGACAAGUUGAGGGGAAUGUUGUGUGGCUCGAAGUCAUUCAUACAUCAAGUUGUAACAUGAAUGAUUUCGGACCAGGCUUCAUUCCCCUCAACAUAAACAAGUGUUUGAAUCAGCUGGUAAAAGAGAAGUUUUAUCUUAACAAGCUUUAACUACGAGUAUAGGAUUCGAGAUCCUAGAAAUACAACAACACUUGUUAGCAUAGCUUUGUGCCCAUUUGGACAUUGUCCGUGCUCUAAUCCAAUUUAGUCGGAGUUUUUGCAGGUUUUAAAACAAAGUAAGUUUUCUACAAACAAAUUAAGUUCUUGCUUUUCUUAUCAAAGUGUGUUUUUCUUUGUUUAUCUCAUUCAGAAUGCUAUCUCCAUACUAGUUGGCUAGUUGCUGAGUUAAGACUUGUUUUCAAGGCGGAGCAAGUCAAAAUAGAAAAAUGGACAUUGGGUUCAGAGAUAAUCAGACUCGAACUGAUGACUUUCACCACGUCAAGGUGACACUCCAUCGCUGAGUUAUAUCCCUUCCUUGCCCCAUCGCCAUCGAGAAAUAGAACUGACUAAUCCUAAGACAAAGGAGUCGAGAUUUUAGCUUGUAACUGUGAAGAACUGUGAAUUUGGGGCAAGGUGUGAAUGACUGACUUAUUGGUUUUGAAUUUUGAUGCUUUAUAAUACGUAAAUGCAUUCACAACUGCUUUUGGAUUUUGUAUUCUUUUAUUUGUUCAUUUAUUAGGAUUUAUAUUUUGAGUUUCUAGAUAAUGUAAACAUCUGCUGGCAAAGAUUGAAUGUUACAAGAAGCUUUAAUUACUUAAUUAUAUUUCUAUGAACAAGAUUAAAAGUGGGUGAAAACUUUUGAGUA
This is an RNA transcript of Beta vulgaris subsp. vulgaris (sugar beet), 3987 nucleotides long. RefSeq lists it as hypothetical. The record is from RefSeq and is a predicted model, not a curated record. NCBI's taxonomy places the organism in Eukaryota, Viridiplantae, Streptophyta, Magnoliopsida, Caryophyllales, Amaranthaceae. The transcript is spliced from 4 exons.